Phascolarctos cinereus (koala) is the source of this 1489-nucleotide RNA transcript. It is a transcript of the gene named choline phosphotransferase 1, with no coding region annotated. NCBI's taxonomy places the organism in Eukaryota, Metazoa, Chordata, Mammalia, Diprotodontia, Phascolarctidae. The record is from RefSeq and is a predicted model, not a curated record.
GGGGCUGCGGCGGCCAUGGCGGCUUCGGAAGCGGGCGGCGGGCACGGCGGGCAGGGCGGCCCGGGCUCGGGCGGCUUCCCGGCGGCCCCGGCGGACUGCGGCCCGGGCUCGUGGGCGCUGUGGGCGCUGUCGGCCCCGCUGAGCCCCGCGCAGCUGCGGCGGCUGGAGGAGCACCGCUACUCGGCGGCCGGCACGUCGCUGCUCGAGCCGCUGCUGCAGCCCUUCUGGCGCUGGCUGGUGGAGCGCGUCCCGCUCUGGCUGGCGCCCAACGCCAUCACCCUGAGCGGGCUGCUGGUGAACGUGCUCAGCACGCUGCUGCUCAUCUUCUACUGCCCCACGGUCACGGAGGAGGCACCAUUAUGGAUGUUCCUAAUAUGUGGCCUGGGCCUCUUCAUCUACCAAUCACUGGAUGCCAUUGAUGGGAAGCAAGCCAGAAGAACAAAUAGCUGUUCUCCGUUAGGAGAACUUUUUGACCAUGGUUGUGAUUCUAUUUCCACAGUGUUUGUGGCUCUCGGAGCCUGCAUCACCAUUCGCUUGGGAUCAGACCCCGACUGGUUGUUUUUCUGCUGUUUUAUUGGGAUGUUCAUGUUUUAUUGUGCUCAUUGGCAAACCUACGUGUCGGGAGUGCUAAGAUUUGGAAAACUGGACGUAACCGAAGCGCAGCUGGCCAUAGUUGUCAUCUUUAUUUUAACCUCAUUUGGAGGAGCAUCAAUGUGGGAUUAUGUUAUCCCUGUGAUUGAAGUAAAACUGAAGCUUUUCCCCCUUCUUGGAAUAGUGGCAGGAGCAUUUUUUUCCUGUUCUAAUUAUUUCCACACCAUCCUCAGUGGCGGCGUUGGCAAGAAUGGAUCCACGAUAGCAGGCACCAGUGUUCUGUCACCUGGCAUCCAUAUAGGACUAAUUAUUCUUCUGGCCAUAAUGAUCUGCAAAAAAUCUGCAACACAGCUCUUUGAAAAACAUCCCUGUCUUUAUAUUAUGAUGUUUGGGUGUGUGUAUGCCAAAAUCACACAAAAAUUGGUGGUUGCUCACAUGACCAAAAGUAAACUAAGUCUACAGGACCCUGCAUUUAUUGGGCCAGGUCUUCUGUUUUUGGACCAGUACUUCAACAAUUUUAUAGACGAAUACAUUGUUCUGUGGGUAGCAAUGUUGACACUCAAAAUCCUUCAAGGAGCUGGUGCAAGCCCUUCUUCUCUCUCAAAGACGACAAGUGCCUGUCUCCCAACCUGACCCUCUGCCACAGUGAGGCACCAAAAUGACCAAAGGGCACCUUGUUACAUGAACGGUCCAAGUUCAUUCUUCAAAGAGCCAUCAGAAUAACAUGGACUGAAGAGAUUUUCGAACACUUGCCAUUUCUUGCUGCUGCUGUUACAAGAAAGGAGAUAUUAAAGAAAUGUUAAUAAGUGACCUUAAUAUACUAUUUUAUUUGGUGAAAAAUAUGUAAUGAUUUAAUCUUAAUUUUUUCAGUUAAAAAUAUACCAUAUUAUUAUUAUUA